UCUAGCGGCGGACGGGUUAGUAACGCGUGGGAACAUACCCUUCUCUAAGGAAUAGCCUCGGGAAACUGAGAGUAAUGCCUUAUACGCCCUUCGGGGGAAAGAUUUAUCGGAGAGGGAUUGGCCCGCGUUAGAUUAGAUAGUUGGUGGGGUAACGGCCUACCAAGUCUACGAUCUAUAGCUGGUUUUAGAGGAUGAUCAGCAACACUGGGACUGAGACACGGCCCAGACUCCUAC
This 234-nucleotide ribosomal RNA is filed under the name Paraphysomonas imperforata. RNAcentral describes it as "partial Bacterial small subunit ribosomal RNA". It matches the Rfam family "Bacterial small subunit ribosomal RNA", at positions 91 to 342 of the family's 1533-position model. Lineage: Eukaryota; Chrysophyceae; Chromulinales; Paraphysomonadaceae. The record is from RNAcentral.